GCCCGGGCAACAGCGCGGCCGCACAAAGGAGGAGGGACUAAUUGAGGCGUGGUCGGUGGGGAGGUGGGGCUCGGGAGGGGCGGGUGCUGGCUCUUAGCUGCCCACCACUCGUGCUCUCCCUAGGGCACCAGUAGUCUAAAUCCUCCAGGUCCGGAUGACAGCUCCCGGGCCGUAAGUGGAUACAUCCUAGCUCUGUGGCGCUUUGGUCCAUUUCACUUUUUCUGUGGGCGUUCGCAAAGUGCGCGCCAAAGCCCGGAGACUAGUGACGCUACCAGGCUCUGAACUGAAGUAGGGAUCCCAGCAAGUGCGCCUCAGGGAGCAUUAGGAGCAGUACUACCGGGCCAAAGCGAGAUCCCGCCCACUCCUGCCGCCACCCCUAAGCAGGCUGGCCUAGGGGAAGUUCUCGGGGAUUGGCGCCUCACGCCACACAGGAGCCCAGUGUUACUGGGACAGCCCGAGGAGCAGGGAUUCCUUCCUUGGGUGCUGGCCAAGGAUUCAAGUCAAGAUACUGCGGCAAAGCCCCCACCCUAGCUCAGCCCACAACCACCUUACGGUUUCUCAACCGAAGACCCUGGACUGGGUCCAGAAAUGCUCCGGCAGCCACACCAAGCUUGCACCGGACAAGGGUCCUAAGACGGGCGCGUUUCAUCUGCUUCCUCAGCACCGGCAGAACAAAUCAAGGGAGGCUGCCACAGUCGGGGGCAAAUAACUACUAAGUAAUUAAAGCCACUGCUUUCAUGA
Long non-coding RNA from Rattus norvegicus (Norway rat), 741 nucleotides. RefSeq lists it as uncharacterized. The record is from RefSeq and is a predicted model, not a curated record. Lineage: Eukaryota; Metazoa; Chordata; Mammalia; Rodentia; Muridae.